This 467-nucleotide ribosomal RNA is filed under the name uncultured bacterium. RNAcentral describes it as "partial 16S ribosomal RNA". It matches the Rfam family "Bacterial small subunit ribosomal RNA", at positions 29 to 507 of the family's 1533-position model. The record is from RNAcentral.
ACGAACGCUGGCGGCGUGCUUAACACCUGCAAGUCGCACGGAAAGGCCCUGCUUUUGUGGGGUGCUCGAGUGGCGAACGGGUGAGUAACACGUGAGUAACCUGCCCUUGACUUUGGGAUAACUUCAGGAAACUGGGGCUAAUACCGGAUAGAAGCUCCUGCUGCAUGGUGGGGGUUGGAAAGUUUCGGCGGUUGGGGAUGGACUCGCGGCUUAUCAGCUUGUUGGUGGGGUAGUGGCUUACCAAGGCUUUGACGGGUAGCCGGCCUGAGAGGGUGACCGGCCACAUUGGGACUGAGAUACGGCCCAGACUCCUACGGGAGGCAGCAGUGGGGAAUAUUGCACAAUGGGCGGAAGCCUGAUGCAGCAACGCCGCGUGCGGGAUGACGGCCUUCGGGUUGUAAACCGCUUUCGCCUGUGACGAAGCGUGAGUGACGGUAAUGGGUAAAGAAGCACCGGCUAACUACGUG